UNUGACUUGAGUGCAGAAGGGGAGAGUGGAAUNCCAUGUGUAGCGGUGAAAUGCGUAGAUAUAUGGAGGAACACCAGUGGCGAAAGCGGCUCUCUGNUCUGUCACUGACGCUGAGGCUCGAAAGCGUGGGUAGCGANCAGGAUUAGAUACCCUGGUAGUCCACGCCGUAAACGAUGAGUGCUAGGUGUUAGGCCCUUUCCGGGGCUUAGUGCCGGAGCUAACGCAAUAAGCACUCCGCCUGGGGAGUACGACCGCAAGGUUGAAACUCAAAGGAAUUGACGGGGGCCCGCACAAGCGGUGGAGCAUGUGGUUUAAUUCGAAGCAACGCGAAGAACCUUACCAGGUCUUGACAUCCCGAUGCUAUUCUUAGAGAUAGGAAGUUACUUCGGUACAUCGGAGACAGGUGGUGCAUGGUUGUCGUCAGCUCGUGUCGUGAGAUGUUGGGUUAAGUCCCGCAACGAGCGCAACCCUUAUUGUUAGUUGCCAUCAUUAAGUUGGGCACUCUAGCGAGACUGCCGGUAAUAAACCGGAGGAAGGUGGGGAUGACGUCAAAUCAUCAUGCCCCUUAUGACCUGGGCUACACACGUGCUACAAUGGUCGGUACAACGAGUUGCGAGCCGGUGACGGCAAGCUAAUCUCUGAAAGCCGAUCUCAGUUCGGAUUGGAGGCUGCAACUCGCCUCCAUGAAGUCGGAAUCGCUAGUAAUCGCGGAUCAGCACGCCGCGGUGAAUACGUUCCCGGGCCUUGUACACACCGCCCGUCACACCACGAGAGUUUGUAACACC
RNAcentral lists this ribosomal RNA (785 nucleotides) under uncultured bacterium. RNAcentral's name for it is "bacterial SSU rRNA". It matches the Rfam family "Bacterial small subunit ribosomal RNA", at positions 636 to 1421 of the family's 1533-position model. The record is from RNAcentral.